Molecule: ribosomal RNA, 96 nt
Filed under: Photorhabdus laumondii subsp. laumondii
Lineage: Bacteria; Pseudomonadati; Pseudomonadota; Gammaproteobacteria; Enterobacterales; Morganellaceae
Source: RNAcentral
GGUCCCACCUGACCCCAUGCCGAACUCAGCAGUGAAACGCCGUAGCGCCGAUGGUAGUGUGGGGUCUCCCCAUGUGAGAGUAGGACACUGCCAGGC